UACGGAGGGAGCUAGCGUUGUUCGGAAUUACUGGGCGUAAAGGGCGCGUAGGCGGCCUUCUAAGUCGAACGUGAAAUCCCUGGGCUCAACCCAGGAACUGCGUCCGAUACUGGAAGGCUUGAAUCCGGGAGAGGGAUGCGGAAUUCCAGGUGUAGCGGUGAAAUGCGUAGAUAUCUGGAGGAACACCGGUGGCGAAGGCGGCAUCCUGGACCGGUAUUGACGCUGAGGCGCGAAAGCCAGGGGAGCAAACGGG
This 253-nucleotide ribosomal RNA is filed under the name uncultured bacterium. RNAcentral describes it as "partial 16S ribosomal RNA". It matches the Rfam family "Bacterial small subunit ribosomal RNA", at positions 524 to 776 of the family's 1533-position model. The record is from RNAcentral.